This 465-nucleotide ribosomal RNA is filed under the name Vreelandella stevensii. RNAcentral's name for it is "partial 16S ribosomal RNA". It matches the Rfam family "Bacterial small subunit ribosomal RNA", at positions 338 to 795 of the family's 1533-position model. The record is from RNAcentral. Lineage: Bacteria; Pseudomonadati; Pseudomonadota; Gammaproteobacteria; Oceanospirillales; Halomonadaceae.
CCUACGGUGGGCAGCAGUGGGGAAUAUUGGACAAUGGGGGCAACCCUGAUCCAGCCAUGCCGCGUGUGUGAAGAAGGCCCUCGGGUUGUAAAGCACUUUCAGUGAGGAAGAACGCCUGGUGGUUAAUACCCAUCAGGAAAGACAUCACUCACAGAAGAAGCACCGGCUAACUCCGUGCCAGCAGCCGCGGUAAUACGGAGGGUGCGAGCGUUAAUCGGAAUUACUGGGCGUAAAGCGCGCGUAGGUGGCUUGAUAAGCCGGUUGUGAAAGCCCCGGGCUCAACCUGGGAACGGCAUCCGGAACUGUCAAGCUAGAGUGCAGGAGAGGAAGGUAGAAUUCCCGGUGUAGCGGUGAAAUGCGUAGAGAUCGGGAGGAAUACCAGUGGCGAAGGCGGCCUUCUGGACUGACACUGACACUGAGGUGCGAAAGCGUGGGUAGCAAACAGGAUUAGAUACCCUUGUAGUC